UCAAAUUUGAAAUCUGACGCAAGUCCGAGUUGUAAUUUGAAGAAGGUAAUUUUUGGGGAGAUGUGAACAAAAGUUCCUUGGAACAGGACGUCAUAGAGGGUGAGAAUCCCGUUUUGUUUACCUCUCUCUCCUUGUAAAAUGCUUUCGAAGAGUCGAGUUGUUUGGGAAUGCAGCUCUAAGUGGGUGGUAAAUUCCAUCUAAAGCUAAAUAUUGGCGAGAGACCGAUAGCGAACAAGUACAGUGAUGGAAAGAUGAAAAGAACUUUGAAAAGAGAGUGAAAAAGUACGUGAAAUUGUUGAAAGGGAAGGGUUUUAAGGGAGACUUGGGAGGUAACGAACAAUUUUCUUUCGGGAAGGUGCACUCGUUGCUUUCUAGGCCAAUAUGGAUUUGAAGAGUGGGAUAAAAGGAUAGGAAUGUAGCCACUCGUGGUGUUAUAG
This 437-nucleotide ribosomal RNA is filed under the name Sugiyamaella sp. BG090815.8.6.2.3.28. Its description in RNAcentral is "eukaryotic LSU rRNA". It matches the Rfam family "Eukaryotic large subunit ribosomal RNA", at positions 109 to 556 of the family's 3401-position model. Lineage: Eukaryota; Fungi; Ascomycota; Dipodascomycetes; Dipodascales; Trichomonascaceae. The record is from RNAcentral.